CCAAUAGCGUAUAUUAAAGUUGUUGCAGUUAAAAAGCUCAUAGUUGAACUUCGGGGUCUACCCAUUGGUCAGGCUUAAUUGUCUGCACUGGUGAGAUGGAUCUCUACCUUCUGAGGAACUUUCAUGCCAUUUAUUUGGUGUAAUGGGAAAUCAGGACUGUUACUUUGAAAAAAUUAGAGUGUUUAAAGCAGACUAUCGUCUGAAUACAUUAGCAUGGAAUAAUGAAAUAGGACGGAUUGAUUCUAUUUCGUUGGUUUCUAGAAUCACCGUAAUGAUUAAUAGGGAUAGUUGGGGGCAUUAGUAUUCAAUUGUCAGAGGUAAAAUUCUUGGAUUUAUUGAAGACUAAUUAUUGCGAAAGCAUUUGCCAAGGAUGUUUUCAUUAAUCAAGAACGAAAGUUAGGGAUCGAAGACGAUCAGAUACCGUCGUAGUCUUAACCAUAAACUAUGCCGACUAGGGAUCGGACGAAGUUAAUUUUAUAAUGACGCUUUUGGCACCUUACG
RNAcentral lists this ribosomal RNA (501 nucleotides) under uncultured Glomeromycotina. RNAcentral describes it as "partial small subunit ribosomal RNA". It matches the Rfam family "Eukaryotic small subunit ribosomal RNA", at positions 591 to 1092 of the family's 1831-position model. The record is from RNAcentral. Lineage: Eukaryota; Fungi; Glomeromycota.